This 509-nucleotide ribosomal RNA is filed under the name uncultured bacterium. RNAcentral describes it as "bacterial SSU rRNA". It matches the Rfam family "Bacterial small subunit ribosomal RNA", at positions 15 to 518 of the family's 1533-position model. The record is from RNAcentral.
GAUCUGGCUCAGGAUGAACGCUAGCGGCAGGCUUAACACAUGCAAGUCGAGGGGCAGCGGGAUGUAGCAAUACAUUGCCGGCGACCGGCGGAUGGGUGCGUAACGCGUAUGCAACCUACCUUAUACAGGGGAAUAACCUUUCGAAAGGGAGACUAACACCCCAUAGUAUUGAUUUAAGGCAUCUUAGAUUAAUUAAAUAUUUAUAGGUAUAAGAUGGGCAUGCGUAUGAUUAGCUAGUUGGUAAGGUAACGGCUUACCAAGGCGACGAUCAUUAGGGGUUCUGAGAGGAAGGUCCCCCACACUGGUACUGAGACACGGACCAGACUCCUACGGGAGGCAGCAGUGAGGAAUAUUGGUCAAUGGGCGCAAGCCUGAACCAGCCAUGCCGCGUGCAGGAAGACGGCCUUAUGGGUUGUAAACUGCUUUUACAUAAGGCUAACCGUAUAUUUGCGAAUAUACCUGAAUGUAUUAUGAGAAUAAGGAUCGGCUAACUCCGUGCCAGCCGCCGC